RNAcentral lists this small RNA (900 nucleotides) under uncultured Kondoa. RNAcentral's name for it is "eukaryotic LSU rRNA". The stretch from base 616 to 900 matches the Rfam family "Eukaryotic large subunit ribosomal RNA", at positions 1 to 281 of the family's 3401-position model. Lineage: Eukaryota; Fungi; Basidiomycota; Agaricostilbomycetes. The record is from RNAcentral.
CUUGGUCAUUUAGAGGAAGUAAAAGUCGUAACAAGGUUUUCGUAGGUGAACCUGCGGAAGGAUCAUUAGUGAAUUACAAUAGAGUGCGCGCAAGCGGCUCGUAAACACUAUUCAAACACUGUGAACUUGUCUUUUUAAUUUUCAAUGUGGGAAAGCAGGCUUAACUGACUGCGGAACCCUUUGAAUUUUAUUAAACCCUAGUCUUUAAAACUAGUCUUGUGGAAUGUAGUUGAAAUUGAUUAAACGAAAGUAUAACUUUCAGCAACGGAUUUCUUGGCUCUCGCAUCGAUGAAGAACGCAGCGAAAUGCGAUACGUAAUGUGAAUUGCAGAACUCAGUGAAUCAUCGAAUCUUUGAACGCACCUUGCGCCUUCUAGUUAUUCUGGAAAGCAUGCUUGUUUGAGUGUCGCGAACUUCUCAACCCCGCCUUUUGUAAUGAGAGGUAGCCUGGGCUUGAAUCAUGGUCUUUUGCCGUUUAUUCGGCUAGACUGAAAUGCAGUAAGCUGCAUGCACGAUUGUAACGGCUUGACCUGAUGUUGUAGUAUCUAUAAACUCAUCGGGGAUCGUUAUUGACAGUUGCAAAGAGCUUUAAACUUUGAAUUUUAAUAGUACAUAAUGACCUCAAAUCAAGUAGGACUACCCGCUGAACUUAAGCAUAUCAAUAAGCGGAGGAAAAGAAACUAACAAGGAUUCCCCUAGUAACGGCGAGUGAAGUGGGAAAAGCUCAACUUUGUAAUCUGGCUGUUUUACAGUCCGAGUUGUAGUCUAGAGAAGCGUUAUCCGUGCCAGCCCUUAUACAUGUUUGUUGGAAUACAACGUCAAAGAGGGUGAGAAUCCCGUAUUUGAUAAGGCGCUUGUGUACAUUGUGAUACGUUUUCAAAGAGUCGAGUUGUUUGGGAAU